This 542-nucleotide ribosomal RNA is filed under the name uncultured bacterium. RNAcentral's name for it is "bacterial SSU rRNA". It matches the Rfam family "Bacterial small subunit ribosomal RNA", at positions 777 to 1319 of the family's 1533-position model. The record is from RNAcentral.
AAUAGAUACCCGGGUAGUCCACGCCGUAAACGAUGUCGACUUGGAGGUUGUUCCCUUGAGGAGUGGCUUCCGGAGCUAACGCGUUAAGUCGACCGCCUGGGGAGUACGGCCGCAAGGUUAAAACUCAAAUGAAUUGACGGGGGCCCGCACAAGCGGUGGAGCAUGUGGUUUAAUUCGAUGCAACGCGAAGAACCUUACCUACUCUUGACAUCCACGGAACUUUUCAGAGAUGAAUUGGUGCCUUCGGGAACCGUGAGACAGGUGCUGCAUGGCUGUCGUCAGCUCGUGUUGUGAAAUGUUGGGUUAAGUCCCGCAACGAGCGCAACCCUUAUCCUUUGUUGCCAGCGGUUCGGCCGGGAACUCAAAGGAGACUGCCAGUGAUAAACUGGAGGAAGGUGGGGAUGACGUCAAGUCAUCAUGGCCCUUACGAGUAGGGCUACACACGUGCUACAAUGGCGCAUACAAAGAGAAGCGACCUCGCGAGAGCAAGCGGACCUCAUAAAGUGCGUCGUAGUCCGGAUUGGAGUCUGCAACUCGACUCC